Molecule: non-coding RNA, 216 nt
Filed under: Mollicutes bacterium
Lineage: Bacteria; Bacillati; Mycoplasmatota; Mollicutes
Description: T-box sequence
Rfam family: T-box leader
About the family: Uncharged tRNA acts as the effector for transcription antitermination of genes in the T-box leader family. T-boxes are found upstream of many aminoacyl-tRNA synthetase genes and some amino acid biosynthetic genes usually in Gram-positive bacteria.
Source: RNAcentral
UUCCAAACGAUGAAAAAGAAUAGUAAACAAAUACUUGUUUCAAAGAGAUCUGCUGGUUGGUGUAAAGUAGAAAACAAUUUUGUUGAACGUGCUUCGGAGUUUAAUUAUCAAAUUAUAGAGAUAAUUACGUAUACCUGCGUUAAAGGUUCGAGAUGCUUAGCUUAUUUAUGUGCUAAGAAUUAAGGUGGUACCGCGAUUAUAAUAAUCGUCCUUUGU